GAGUUUGAUCCUGGCUCAGGAUGAACGCUGGCGGCGUGCUUAACACAUGCAAGUCGAACGAAGCACUUUAUUUGAUUUCCUUCGGGACUGAUUAUUUUGUGACUGAGUGGCGGACGGGUGAGUAACGCGUGGGUAACCUGCCUCAUACAGGGGGAUAACAGUUAGAAAUGACUGCUAAUACCGCAUAAGACCACAGAGCCGCAUGGCUCAGUGGGAAAAACUCCGGUGGUAUGAGAUGGACCCGCGUCUGAUUAGGUAGUUGGUGGGGUAACGGCCUACCAAGCCGACGAUCAGUAGCCGACCUGAGAGGGUGACCGGCCACAUUGGGACUGAGACACGGCCCAAACUCCUACGGGAGGCAGCAGUGGGGAAUAUUGCACAAUGGGGGAAACCCUGAUGCAGCGACGCCGCGUGAGCGAUGAAGUAUUUCGGUAUGUAAAGCUCUAUCAGCAGGGAAGAAAAUGACGGUACCUGACUAAGAAGCACCGGCUAAAUACGUGCCAGCCGCCGCGGUAAUUC
Molecule: ribosomal RNA, 519 nt
Filed under: uncultured bacterium
Lineage: Bacteria
Description: bacterial SSU rRNA
Rfam family: Bacterial small subunit ribosomal RNA
Source: RNAcentral